This is a transfer RNA of Camelus ferus (Wild Bactrian camel), 72 nucleotides long. It matches the Rfam family "tRNA". Rfam says of the family: Transfer RNA (tRNA) molecules are approximately 80 nucleotides in length. The record is from Rfam. Lineage: Eukaryota; Metazoa; Chordata; Mammalia; Artiodactyla; Camelidae.
GAGGUGAUAGCUCAAGUGGUAGAGCACAUGCUUAGCAUGCACAAGGUCUUGGGUUCAACCCCCAGUACCUCC